RNAcentral lists this ribosomal RNA (450 nucleotides) under uncultured Jeotgalicoccus sp. RNAcentral describes it as "bacterial SSU rRNA". It matches the Rfam family "Bacterial small subunit ribosomal RNA", at positions 354 to 796 of the family's 1533-position model. Lineage: Bacteria; Bacillati; Bacillota; Bacilli; Caryophanales; Staphylococcaceae. The record is from RNAcentral.
GUAGGGAAUCUUCCGCAAUGGACGCAAGUCUGACGGAGCAACGCCGCGUGAGUGAAGAAGGGUUUCGGCUCGUAAAACUCUGUUGUUAAGGAAGAACACUUUAGGUAGUAACUGGCCUAGAGAUGACGGUACUUAACCAGAAAGCCACGGCUAACUACGUGCCAGCAGCCGCGGUAAUACGUAGGUGGCAAGCGUUAUCCGGAAUUAUUGGGCGUAAAGCGCGCGUAGGCGGUAGAAUAAGUCUGAUGUGAAAGCCCCCGGCUCAACCGGGGAGGGUCAUUGGAAACUGUUUUACUUGAGUGCAGAAGAGGAGAGUGGAAUUCCAUGUGUAGCGGUGAAAUGCGCAGAGAUAUGGAGGAACACCAGUGGCGAAGGCGGCUCUCUGGUCUGUAACUGACGCUGAGGUGCGAAAGCGUGGGGAUCAAACAGGAUUAGAAACCCUAGUAGUCC